RNA transcript from Brassica oleracea var. oleracea, 2606 nucleotides. It is a transcript of the gene named two-component response regulator-like APRR1, with no coding region annotated. Lineage: Eukaryota; Viridiplantae; Streptophyta; Magnoliopsida; Brassicales; Brassicaceae. The transcript has 6 exons. The record is from RefSeq and is a predicted model, not a curated record.
CUGUCGGAGAAACUUCCAAUCUCCGCCGUCCAUUCUUAUCAACGCCUUCAGAUUACCAUCGUCCAUUUCCCCUUCUCAGCGUCUCAUUAUUUGACCUCUGAUUGACAAAAACAAAUAUCUCUCGUGUUUUUCUCACUUCUUGUCGGAAGCUCUCUCUCCUCAUCUCACCGCCGGCGUUACCCCCGGAUCGCCGGUGAUUUUGUUUGAGCUGCUAUCGAUUGUUGAUUUCAACACUUUACCGGAGAUAAAGAGUUUGACUUUUUGUUCUUAGAUUUAGCUUUUUUAUUUAUUUUAUUUUACGUUUCCAUGGCUGUACGAUUAGGUUUGGGGAUAAAAAGAGUAACUUUUGGUUUGUUGUUGUGAAAUGAAGAGACUUUGAAUAGACAAAUUAGGCGACUUUGUAGGGACACUGUACCGAAACCCUAAGCUCUGGUUUGGCCAUGGAAGUAUCAUAGCACUUUCUCUUUUCUGGGUUUUAUUUGUCUUAAUCUUUUGUAUAACCCCCUUUUUUAAUGUUUUGUUAGUGGAAAAUUAGUUUCUUUGAUUAGAUUUUUUUUGUGGGUUUAUCUGUAAUCAUGGAUUUGAACGGAGAGUGUAAGGGAGGAGGAGGAGAUGGGUUCAUUGACAGAAGCAGAGUUAGGAUUCUGCUUUGUGACAAUGAUCCCAAUAGCUUGGGAGAGGUUUUCACCCUCCUUUCACAGUGUUCUUAUCAAGUGACGUCAGUGAAAUCAGCAAGGCAGGUGAUUGAUGCACUAAAUGCAGAGGGGCCUGACAUCGAUAUAAUACUGGCGGAGAUUGAUCUCCCAAUGGCCAAGGGUAUGAAGAUGCUGAGGUACAUCACGCGUGACAAAGAUCUUCGGAGAAUCCCUGUCAUCAUGAUGUCGAGGCAAGACGAGGUCCCUGUGGUGGUAAAGUGCUUGAAGCUAGGUGCAGCGGACUACCUUGUUAAGCCUCUUCGGACCAACGAGCUUCUCAACUUGUGGACACACAUGUGGAGAAGAAGACGCAUGCUAGGACUUGCUGAGAAGAAUAUGUUGAGCUAUGAGUUUGAUCUGGUGGGAUCUGAUCCAAGUGAUCCAAACACAAACAGUACCAACCUCUUCUCUGAUGACACAGAUGAUAUUAGGUCCACCAAUCCACAAAGAGGAAGCCAUCAGGAAAAGGAGUGGCCUGUUGCUACUGGUUCCUUUGUGCUAGCGAUGGUGCUGCUGAUGGCACAGCCACGUCAACUCCUCCUGCUGCUGUCAUAGAGCCUCCUUUGAAUCAUCUUCCUGAGCCUCACCAUGAGCCUACUAAAAGAAAAACUAAUCCAGCGCAAUUUUCUUCAGUACCAAAGAAGAGUAGAUUGAAGAUUGGAGAGUCCUCCGCUUUCUUCACAUAUGUCAAGUCUACCGUCAAUGGAAAUGGUUCAGUUCAUCCGGGUAUUGCGGAGAAGCUUCAAGUGGUGGCCAGUGAGGUUAACAACAACGGGAAGCAAACAAGAGGAGGUAGAGAGACUGAGAAAAACAAAGCUCAAGGAGAGAACUCAGUGAACGGCACGCUUGAGCGGUCACGCACGCUUCCAACACCAAUGGAACUUCAUGGUAGUAGGAGCUACCAAGAAGUUCCAAAUUCCAUUGAGCGGUCACGCACGCUUCCACCACCAAUGGAGCUUCAGGGUAAUAGGAGCUGUUACCAAGAAGGAACUAUGGAUGAUGCCCGGGUUGCUGCUGCUAAGGAUUCAUCUCAGUUCGCUGCGCAAAACGCCUAUCCUUACUACAUGCAUGGGGUCAUGAACCAAGUUAUGAUGCAAUCAGCAGCCAUGAUGCCUCAGUAUGGUCAUCAUCAACAUCCUCAUUGCCCACCUAAUCAUCUGAAUGGCAUGACAGGGUUUCCUUAUUACCACCACCACCCCAUGAACACAUCGUUACAGAACGGUCAUGUGCCUUUACAGAACGGUCAGAUGCCUCCUAUGGUCCAUCAUCAUCAUUCUUGGCCACAGGUGGGAAACCACCCGUCUCCUAACGAGGUGAGAGUGACUAAACUCGACAGAAGAGAGGAAGCUUUGCUUAAAUUUAGACGAAAGAGGAACCAAAGGUGUUUUGAUAAGAAGAUUAGGUAUGUGAAUAGGAAGCGCCUUGCUGAGAGGAGACCGCGUGUUAAGGGUCAGUUUGUUAGGAAGAUGAACGGUGUAAAUGUUGACUUGAACGGGCAGCCUGAGCCUGACUCUGCUGACUAUGAUGACGAGGAAGAGGAGGAUGAAGAAGAAGAGGAGAAUCGGGACUCGUCUCCUCAGGAUGAUGCUCUUGGAACUUGAGAAACAACCUUGUUUGGUUUUAUGAUGAGAAACUUUGCUUGAUGAUGAUGAUCUAUUGACACGGAAGGAAUGAUGCUGCUGCUCAUGUUGGCUUAGCAGAGCAUUGAAAAUCACUAUGUAGGUGUGGCUUAGUUCGUUGAUAAAACAUAAGAUGUGUUUGAUCUUGUUCACUCACAUUCAGUGAGUUAUGUAUAAAACCUUUCUUCUCCUUCCAGCAUUUUCCUUGGAUUUUAUUUUUCCUUUUGUUCCCUCGUCUGUUUUAACAUGUAUGAUCACUUCAUGGAAAGGUAUAAAGGGACGUGUUCCAUGA